AUUGAACGCUGGCGGCGUGCUUAACACAUGCAAGUCGAGCGGCAGCGCGGGGGCAACCCUGGCGGCGAGCGGCGGACGGGUGAGCAAUACAUAGGAAUCUGCCUCAGAGCGGGGGAUAGCCAGGGGAAACCCUGAUUAAUACCGCAUGACGUCGAGAGACCAAAGUGGGGGAUCGUAAGACCUCACACUCUGAGAUGAGCCUAUGUCGGAUUAGCUAGUUGGCGGGGUAACGGCCCACCAAGGCGACGAUCCGUAGCUGGUCUGAGAGGACGAUCAGCCACACCGGAACUGAGACACGGUCCGGACUCCUACGGGAGGCAGCAGUGGGGAAUAUUGGACAAUGGGCGAAAGCCUGAUCCAGCGACGCCGCGUGGGUGAAGAAGGCCUUCGGGUUGUAAAGCCCUUUAAGCCGGGACGAAAAAGCUACACCUAACACGUGUGGCCUUGACGGUACCGGAAGAAUAAGCACCGGCUAACUCUGUGCCAGCAGCCGCCGUAA
Molecule: ribosomal RNA, 499 nt
Filed under: uncultured bacterium
Lineage: Bacteria
Description: partial 16S ribosomal RNA
Rfam family: Bacterial small subunit ribosomal RNA
Source: RNAcentral